AUAAAUUUAUUAUUUAAAAAAAAAAAAAAUAUAUCUGUUCUUAUCAGCUUAAUAUCUGAUACGUCUCCUGAUGGAGACAUCGAUAUUAAACUGAUUUUUAGAAUGGGGUGAGGUGCCACGGGGCUUGCUCCGCCCUCAUCACGGGUUGAUCCGGUAUUGCAGUACCUCCGGGAAUGGCCCACCACUC
This 187-nucleotide small nuclear RNA is filed under the name Haliotis rufescens (red abalone). Its description in RNAcentral is "U2 spliceosomal RNA". It matches the Rfam family "U2 spliceosomal RNA". From Rfam's summary of the family: U2 is a small nuclear RNA (snRNA) component of the spliceosome (involved in pre-mRNA splicing). Complementary binding between U2 snRNA (in an area lying towards the 5' end but 3' to hairpin I) and the branchpoint sequence (BPS) of the intron results the bulging out of an unpaired adenosine, on the BPS, which initiates a nucleophilic attack at the intronic 5' splice site, thus starting the first of two transesterification reactions that mediate splicing. The record is from RNAcentral. Lineage: Eukaryota; Metazoa; Mollusca; Gastropoda; Lepetellida; Haliotidae.